GACGAACGCUGGCGGCGUGCUUAACACAUGCAAGUCGAACGGAAAGGCCCUGCUUUUGUGGGGUGCUCGAGUGGCGAACGGGUGAGUAACACGUGAGUAACCUGCCCUUGACUUUGGGAUAACUUCAGGAAACUGGGGCUAAUACCGGAUAGGAGCUCCUGCUGCAUGGUGGGGGUUGGAAAGUUUCGGCGGUUGGGGAUGGACUCGCGGCUUAUCAGCUUGUUGGUGGGGUAGUGGCUUACCAAGGCUUUGACGGGUAGCCGGCCUGAGAGGGUGACCGGCCACAUUGGAACUGGGAUACGGCCCAGACUCCUACGGGAGGCAGCAGGGGGGAAUAUUGCAAAAGGGGCGGAGGCCUGAUGCAGAAACGCGGCGUGCGGGAUGACGGCCUUCGGGUGGUAAACCGCUUUCGCCUGUGACGAGGCGUGGGUGACGGUAAUGGGUAAGGAAGCACCGGCUAACUACGU
This 467-nucleotide ribosomal RNA is filed under the name uncultured bacterium. RNAcentral's name for it is "partial 16S ribosomal RNA". It matches the Rfam family "Bacterial small subunit ribosomal RNA", at positions 28 to 506 of the family's 1533-position model. The record is from RNAcentral.